GUUCUUCCUUGUAAUGAGAAUGACAAGCAAGGAAAAGUACAUCAUCCAUUUCGGAGAACAUCCUUCUUACAUUUAGACUCAAGUUCUGCACAGCAUGAUUCCAGUGGUUCUGAGUAUUGCUUUCCACAGCUGGGAAUAUAAUCGGGAGAAUCACGUGCCGGUUAUGUGCAAUCAAAUUGACAAUUUGGUCAUUAUUCCAAAGGAAGAGAGCCCUUUCAGCAACCUGAAAAUGGUAACUAUUGAUGCAGCAACCGAUCCGCCAGAACAAGGGAACCAUCACUUUUUGGAACUCAGCCAUGUUAAUAACUUCCAAAAUUUCUUCCAGCUCACUCAAAAACAUCACCUCCUUUUGGGUGCUUGUGAUAGGCCAGUACUUCAACAAACCCCUAAUCACAGUGCUAGCCAAUUUGGGAUCUUU
This 418-nucleotide unclassified non-coding RNA is filed under the name Hevea brasiliensis (rubber tree). Lineage: Eukaryota; Viridiplantae; Streptophyta; Magnoliopsida; Malpighiales; Euphorbiaceae. The record is from RNAcentral.